Molecule: long non-coding RNA, 1253 nt
Organism: Triticum dicoccoides
Lineage: Eukaryota; Viridiplantae; Streptophyta; Magnoliopsida; Poales; Poaceae
Exons: 2
Source: RefSeq, a predicted model, not a curated record
UCGCACAUCCACCCAUGACCCCAAAUCGACCUCCACCUUCUUCCCCUGCCCUGCUCCCACCCCCCGGGAGAGCCCACGACGGGGAUCAGUGCCGGCGCCGCCCACUCCUCUCCCCCUUCCUUGUUCCUAGCUCCCUCCCGCAGAGACACGUGCGCCCACGCCUCGGCCUCGCUCGCCACCUCUCCCAUGGUCACCGAAGCACCAAUCCCAGCGCCCGUCGCCUAAGCCUGGCUAGCCUGCACCCCUCAACCUCCCUCCCCCAUGACGCCCUCACCCUCCUUCCAACACCAGCCAUGCCCCAGCCACCCACUGUCGCCCGGAUCUGGCUUCCCUGCGCCGCCCGACCCCACCCUCCAAUGGAUCUCGUCGACCCGAUGAUCCCCGACGCAAAAGGCCAACCCAGGAAGCUCCCACACCCCGGUGUGCAAUGGUCCCUAGCACCCCUCGGAUCCCGACGAGCCUUGCUCCCCGGAUCCAUGCUCUUCCACCCCCCACUCCCCCUCCCGGUGUCCUUCUUCUUCCCCAUCUCAAGCCCUCCCCUACCCACCUUCUUCCGCGACGGCGACCCAGCUCUUCCCCGUCGUAGGUCCUUCCCUCCCCUACCUACCUUCUUCCACCGCACCACGGGUUCUUCCCGAAAAUCGCAGCACCACCCCGAGCCCGUCGCGCAUCUGAUCCACUCGUCAGCGGUGCACACGCAGUCCCCCCCACGGCGGCAUGCAGUACGCCACUCGCGCUAGUGUAGCCCGCUGGCUGCACCUACGCACAUCGACCGUGAAGUCCCCAGGAUGAAGACGUCGUGGAGCGUGGGGUGCAACUCAUUUUUUCUCAUCGCGCAGCUCGUUGCGGCUCAGGUUGCAGCUCAUUUUAGUUCACUGUGUUCUUCUAUGCAGCAAAAAAGGAUGUGCAACUUGGCGUUUGUGAGGAGCGAGAUGUGCAGAUCGGUUAGAGCAAGAUUCCACUACAUAAAGGGUCCAGUACACUUCGGCGACGCUGGGAUUGCAUCCAGGAUUUGCAAAAACAAAAAAGAACUUGGUUUGCCACUGGAGAUGGUCUAGUGUAGUUCGGCUGGGUGCCCCGCGCGGUUCACACUUUGUUUUUCAUAGAAUGGAGUUCGCUAGUAAAACCGUUGUUGGUCAUUAUGUGUGAAAAAAAGAUUACACUAGAGCAAAGGGAAUAGUGGAUGCGGUUCACUACAAUGUGAGUUUGGUUAUGUAAAAAAUAAUGAAUGAAUAUGUAUGUUUUGAAGCUCA